ACGCUCGACACCUACGGGAGCAGCAGUGGGGAAUAUUGCACAAUGGGGGAAACCCUGAUGCAGCGACGCCGCGUGAGUGAAGAAGUAUUUCGGUAUGUAAAGCUCUAUCAGCAGGGAAGAAAAUGACGGUACCUGACUAAGAAGCCCCGGCUAACUACGUGCCNGCAGCCGCGGUAAUCUGAGCGGGCUGGCAAGGC
RNAcentral lists this ribosomal RNA (197 nucleotides) under uncultured bacterium. RNAcentral describes it as "partial 16S ribosomal RNA". It matches the Rfam family "Bacterial small subunit ribosomal RNA", at positions 328 to 539 of the family's 1533-position model. The record is from RNAcentral.